AUGUCAUUACAAACCCAAACCUCCCUGUCCAAUUUUCUCAUUGUACCCUUGACUUAAUAUUAUGAUUAAUAUUUCCUAAAAGUUGAAAUCCUCCUAGUAAUAGAUCAAUAGACUGAAAGUAAGCAGUAGAAAAUUUGCUUUUUGUGCUUUCUGAAAACUUUGCUUCUUAAUCAAAUUUUCUAAUGUUUUAAAUUUAAUAGUUCAACCAGAGUUUGAGGCACAAAGGGAGAGAUAAUAAUUCAGGGCACCUCAAGAUUUUCCCUUCAACCUCCGACCGAAUGGAGCCUUCGGUACCUCUGUGCCUAUUGGCCAUGCUGCAGGAAAGCUCAGUUAUGAAAUCUUCCACUCUGAGAUCUUGGCAGAUCAAAAACUAUACGGAGCAUUUGGUGAGGUACCAUUUAUGUGAGGCAGUCCCAAAUGUUUGGCACAUUUAUGGGAAGCAUCCUGAUGAAGGAUUUACAGUGGUUUCUUCUAACUGGGAUCACUCCUAGGUCUAGUACUAAUAAAGAGAAGAAGAUCGGAGCAGCUUUGACAUGAAUGGAUCCAUCUGGCCUGGUCUCCAUACAAGUUUCCUAUGAGUUUGGUGAGUGUGGAUCCCCAUGGAUCAUAAUCCACCUGGGAAAUCAGAUGGAGUCUGACUUCUCAUCUUGCAUCAAUGUGACUGGUAGGGAUGGGUCCAUGCUCUGGAGCUGGACUCUGUGGGUUUGAAUCCUGGCUCCUCUGUUUCUGCCCUGAGAGAACUUGGCUAAGUUCCCUUACUUCUCUGUGCCCCAGAGUGCUUAUCUCUAAAAUGAAUUAUAAUGUACUGUAAAUGGGAAAAUUAAUAUAGUGUGCCUAAUAGCAGUGAGCAUUCAGCAAGUAUUAGCUGUGUGUGUGGCUGUAACAGCCAAGGACCGGCUGGAGGAAUGCGGUGACUCUACAGCAGUGCACCUCUGAGUCCUAGUGAGACAAGCGACUGUGGUCCAGGUCUGGAAGGAGGCUGGGCAGCGGCUUUUCUCAUCUCUACAGUUGGGAACUAGCACUCAUCCUUCUCAGGAAGAGGGAGAGAGUGGACUGAAUAUUUCUCACAAAGCAAUGACUGCCUCAUUAAAAAAAAAAGUAAUCAUAUAAGAAAUAUGUGAAGAUAUUGUGAAAAAAUCAAAUAAAACAAGUAAAAAGUAUCUUUAUAUUCCCCUUCCCUUCCCACUGCUCUCUUCAGAGGUAACCACUAUUCACAGUCUGGGAUGUGCCCUUCCGGACUUUGUGGAUGUGUAUGGGUGUAUGGCAUACGUAAUUUUGGUUACUGGGUUGUUAACUGAAAUAAAAUCAUUCUACAUAUUUUUCUGUAACUACCUUUUGUUACCUUAACAGUACAUUUUUGGAAAAUAUUUCCAAGUCAUUACCAACAGAACUCAUUCAUCCUUGGUAAUGGCUACACGGUAGCCAUUCAAAUGUCACAGACCCUUCAAGCAAUUGUUUAAAUGAGAAGAUGCUACAUUUUCAAGCAGAGACUGAUUCACUGUAGCUUAAUAAAUUUUUA
Molecule: long non-coding RNA, 1519 nt
Filed under: Homo sapiens (human)
Lineage: Eukaryota; Metazoa; Chordata; Mammalia; Primates; Hominidae
Description: long non-coding RNA NONHSAT185070.1
Source: RNAcentral